This 495-nucleotide ribosomal RNA is filed under the name uncultured bacterium. RNAcentral describes it as "partial 16S ribosomal RNA". It matches the Rfam family "Bacterial small subunit ribosomal RNA", at positions 28 to 507 of the family's 1533-position model. The record is from RNAcentral.
GAUGAACGCUGGCGGCGUGCCUAAUACAUGCAAGUAGAACGCUGAAGGAGGAGCUUGCUCUUCUGGAUGAGUUGCGAACGGGUGAGUAACGCGUAGGUAACCUGCCUGGUAGCGGGGGAUAACUAUUGGAAACGAUAGCUAAUACCGCAUGACAACAGUUAUUGCAUGAUAACUGUUUAAAAGGGGCAACUGCUCCACUACCAGAUGGACCUGCGUUGUAUUAGCUAGUUGGUGAGGUAACGGCUCACCAAGGCGACGAUACAUAGCCGACCUGAGAGGGUGAUCAGCCACACUGGGACUGAGACACGGCCCAGACUCCUACGGGAGGCAGCAGGAGGGAAUCUUCGGCAAUGGACGGAAGUCUGACCGGGCAACGCCGCGGGAGUGAAGAAGGUUUUCGGAUCGUAAAGCUCUGUUGUAAGAGAAGAACGAGUGUGAGAGUGGAAAGUUCACACUGUGACGGUAUCUUACCAGAAAGGGACGGCUAACUACGUG